RNAcentral lists this ribosomal RNA (465 nucleotides) under uncultured bacterium. RNAcentral describes it as "partial 16S ribosomal RNA". It matches the Rfam family "Bacterial small subunit ribosomal RNA", at positions 28 to 507 of the family's 1533-position model. The record is from RNAcentral.
GACGAACGCUGGCGGCGUGCUUAACACAUGCAAGUCGAACGGAAAGGCCCUGCUUGCAGGGUACUCGAGUGGCGAACGGGUGAGUAACACGUGGGUGAUCUGCCCUUCACUUCGGGAUAAGCCUUGGAAACUGGUUCUAAUACCGGAUAGGAGCCAUUUUUAGUGUGAUGGUUGGAAAGUUUUUUCGGUGUAGGAUGAGCUCGCGGCCUAUCAGCUUGUUGGUGGGGUAAUGGCCUACCAAGGCGGCGACGGGUAGCCGGCCUGAGAGGGUGGCCGGCCACAUUGGGACUGAGAUACGGCCCAGACUCCGACGGGAGGCAGCAGUGGGGAAUAUUGCACAAUGGGAGCAAGCCUGAUGCAGCGACGCCGCGUGGGGGAUGACGGCCUUCGGGUUGUAAACUCCUUUCGCUAGGGACGAAGCUUUUUGUGACGGUACCUAGAUAAGAAGCACCGGCUAACUACGUG